ACAGGUUAUUAUGGACUGUAGUUACAUAAUGGAAACAGGUUAUUAUGGACUGUAGUUACACCUGAUGGAAACAGGUUAUUAUGGACUGUAGUUACACCUGAUGGAAACAGGUUAUUAUGGACUGUAGUUACAUAAUGGAAACAGGUUAUUAUGGACUGUAGUUACACCUGAUGGAAACAGGUUAUUAUGGACUGUAGUUACACCUGAUGGAAACAGGUUAUUAUGGACUGUAGUUACACCUGAUGGAAACAGGUUAUUAUGGACUGUAGUUACACCUAAUGGAAACAGGUUAUUAUGGACUGUAGUUACAUAAUGGAAACAGGUUAUUAUGGACUGUAGUUACACCUGAUGGAAACAGGUUAUUAUGGACUGUAGUUACACCUGAUGGAAACAGGUUAUUAUGGACUGUAGUUACACCUAAUGGAAACAGGUUAUUAUGGACUGUAGUUACACCUGAUGGAAACAGGUUAUUAUGGACUGUAGUUACACCUAAUGGAAACAGGUUAUUAUGGACUGUAGUUACACCUGAUGGAAACAGGUUAUUAUGGACUGUAGUUACACCUGAUGGAAACAGGUUAUUAUGGACUGUAGUUACAUAAUGGAAACAGGUUAUUAUGGACUGUAGUUACACCUGAUGGAAACAGGUUAUUAUGGACUGUAGUUACACCUGAUGGAAACAGGUUAUUAUGGACUGUAGUUACACCUAAUGGAAACAGGUUAUUAUGGACUGUAGUUACACCUAAUGGAAACAGGUUAUUAUGGACUGUAGUUACACCUGAUGGAAACAGGUUAUUAUGGACUGUAGUUACACCUGAUGGAAACAGGUUAUUAUGGACUGUAGUUACAUAAUGGAAACAGGUUAUUAUGGACUGUAG
Oncorhynchus keta (chum salmon) is the source of this 875-nucleotide long non-coding RNA. RefSeq lists it as uncharacterized. Lineage: Eukaryota; Metazoa; Chordata; Actinopteri; Salmoniformes; Salmonidae. The record is from RefSeq and is a predicted model, not a curated record. The transcript has 3 exons.